GAAAAAUAGAUUUGGAGGUAUGGGGAAUUGAACCCCAGACUUCUCACAUGCGAAGCGAGCGCUCUACCCCUGAGCUAUACCCCCACGAAAAAUUGCAAUAAAAGUAACUGAUAGAAAAGACAGAGA
Molecule: non-coding RNA, 126 nt
Organism: Caenorhabditis elegans
Lineage: Eukaryota; Metazoa; Nematoda; Chromadorea; Rhabditida; Rhabditidae
Source: Ensembl